RNAcentral lists this long non-coding RNA (4406 nucleotides) under Homo sapiens (human). RNAcentral describes it as "HSALNT0307584". The record is from RNAcentral. Lineage: Eukaryota; Metazoa; Chordata; Mammalia; Primates; Hominidae.
UGGUUGUAAUGAUGCACUCUUCCAAAUGUUCAGACACCAUAGACCACACAACGCGGCUUGUCUCACGCUUUUCCACAAUGUAGUGAGUGAUUUUUGCACCACCAUCAUCAGCUGGAGGCCGCCAGAGAAGGGUGAUCUUCUCAGCAGUUACAGUCUUAAAUUCAAUUGGUCCACCAGGUGGGCCUGGUUUGUCUAUCAGUGAAAGGACAAAACACGAUGUUAGUACUUCUUUAAAGCCUACUUGUUCAAAAUUACUAAGCUUUAGGCAAAUGUAAUAUGACAGUGGUCUGUAUUCAGCACCUACCAAGGAUCUGUACUCUGAUGGUGGCUGAGGCUGAGCCCAUGGCAUUCCUUAGUUUUAAUUCAUAGCAUCCACUAUUAAGGCGAUCGGCAUCUUUGAUGAGUAUAGAUGCGAGGUCCGUGGUAUUUUCAACACACACCAGUGCAUUGGUUUGUAAUUCUUUAUCAUCUUUAUACCACUCAAUAGUAGGCGCAGGUUUGCCAGAAAUGCCAGCUCUGAGCUUCACAGAUGUACCUGCUCUGUAUUUGACAACUUCUGUAUAUUCUAGAGGCAAAUCAAUUACAGGACCACCUGCAAGAAAAACAGAUGAGAAAUAUUUAAAAUAUUAUAAGGAUGGAAAAAAAAAUAGUUGCACCAACCUUAAAGUAAGGUCAUUGGCCAUUAUUAAAUUAUACACACACACCAUCAUUAUAAUUCUAUGCAAUUAUUAUUUAAAAAUUAAAAAUUUAUAGGCCACUCUUCUAUCUCAGAUGGGGUAGAAAGACUGUGAGUUGUGCAGGGACUUAAGCACCUUUUACAUGUGUUUUAAAGUCCAUUAGUUGCUUUAUUCCAGUGAAGAAAUGGGAUAUGGUAGUGAGAACAUCAUGGAAGAAGCUGUUAAAACAUUUCCUUUCACUUUAGCUUUUCUUUCCUUUUCUUCUACGCACCUCCUAUUCUUUUUCUUUUCCCAUCCCAGUUCACUGAUAUCCAAGUGUGGAUGGUUCAUGUCAGACACUUAAAGUCUGAAUUCUCUACCCACAGAGCUACAUAAUUACUGGACAGAUUUUCUGCCAUGCUGUUUGGAAUUAUCAAGAAAGAUAACUAAAUUCGACUUGCUUUAUACUCUCAUAAACACUGAUUCAGUAUCCACAAAGCCUGAUUCAUAAAUAAUGAACAGCCCUGAGAUUCUCAGCAUGAAGAUGGAAGUGGAUACUUUUGCCCAGACACUACAGUGGCUCAAUUUUCUCUUAGCAAAUGGAGAUCUUUUAGGUAAAGUGUCACAGGAUACCUGACUCUCAUGACGUUUUAAUUUUCAAAACAUUGUUGAGUUGAAUGUGCCACUUAUUUUCCAGAAUGGUGAAGAAUACGCAUUUUGGACUAACCAUGAUAGAGAGGGCUCUGAAGUCUGUCUGUCUGAAUUCCCACUCCAUCCCUAACGGGGAAGUUACAAAAGCACUCUCAGCCUCAGUUUCCCUUCUAUAAGAUGGCUAAUAUGAGGGCUGUGAGAACUAAGGGAAAGAAUUCAUGAAAAUUCCUCAAUAAAUGUUAGCUGCUGCUAAUACUAUCAUCAUCAAAGUCUGUGUUUAGACCAGGCAUGGUGGCUCACACCUGUAAUCCCAACACUUUGGGAGGCCGAGGUGGGUGGAUCACCUGAGGUCAGGAGGUUGAGACCUGCCUGGCCAACAUGGUGAAACUCCGUCCCUACUAAAAAUACAAAAAAUUAGCUGGGUGUGGUGGGGCAUGCCUGUAAUCCCAGCUACUCAGGUGACUGAGGCACGAGAAUCGUUUGAGCCCAGGAGGCGGAAGUUGCAGUGAACCAAGACCGUGCCACUGCACUACAGCCUGGGCGACAGAGUGAGACUCUGUCUCAAAACAAACAAACAAACAAACAAACAAAAAAAAAAAAACCAAAAAAUGAAGUCUCUGUUUAGUCUGUGGCUUAUUUAAGAGCAAUAUUCUCUAGGAACUCAACCAUGGUUUAAUUAUUGACUCUGAUAAUUUAAAACAGAAUGAAAGCACCAACUCAUACAAUCAAUCAUAAAAGGUUGAAGUUGGAAAGGCCCAUAGAUAUCCUGAGGUCUAAAUCUCUCACUUUACAGUCAAGUCAAGAGGGCUGGAAAGGUAUUUAAGGAAUUUUCCUCAGACUCCCAGCUAGUCCAUAAUUUCUUCCAAAAACCCCAUUAAGGCACAGAGUAAAAGUUAUUCUAUAGGAUUAGAACCAGGAAAAGGUAUGCGGAAAUACUGAGUUAAAUAGCAAUUUUGAUUCAAAGUGCUAAGCAUGCUUACCAUAAGAAUCGAUGCAAGUAAUGGGCCCUACAACCUCAGAUGGAUUGCUAAUGGAACCAACAGCAUUCCUAGCAAAGACACGGAAUUCAUACUGGGAAUUCUGAGUCAAGCCAGAGAUGAUGAAUUGAGUUUCAGUAACAUUGGUGAAGCUGGCCUUGGUCCAUCUGCCAUCUGGAAGGUCACGUCUCUCAACAAUGUAGCCUGUAAUCUUGCUACCUCCAUCGAAAGCUGGUUGUUGCCAUGAAAGGCUGACAGAGUUCUUUGAAAUAUCAGUGAUACGAACAUUUCUUGGGGGUUCUGUGGUAAUAAGAGAAGCAGAUUAGCGGCACUUAUAAUAUUUUGCUUCGCAGAAGUAAGAUUUGCAUUUUUGUUAUCAGAACUGCCCUUCCCAUGACAAAUACGUACCACAAGCAUCAAUUGCCAAGACUGGUUCAGAAGGAUGGCUAGGUUUUCCAACUCCAGCAGCAUUUUCUGCAUACACCCUGAAUUCAUAAAUAAGUCCAGCACUGAUUGUUGUGACUUUGAAGUGAGUUGUGCGGAUGACCAGUUUGUUGGCUUUUUGCCAUAAAAUACUGUUUCUGUCUUUCAUUUCCAGGUGAUAGCCUACGACUGCACUGCCUCCAUUUGACACUGGUUCAUGCCAGCCCACAGUGAUGCUUUCUCGAGUAACAUUAGUGACCCAUGGUGUAGAUGGUGGUCCAGGUGUUGCUACAAAAGAGAGAAAUCCUAUAGAUUAGUACAGACAAUAACACAUUUAUGGUAAAAGAAAACCUGGAUCUUUGAAAAGUUGGACAACUUACUGUAUGGUAGUUUGACAGUCACACAAGCUGAAUCUAUAUGAUCACUGAUGCCAAAGCGGUUUUCUGCCUUGAUGCGGAAUUGGUAUUCUUCUCCUGUGGUCAGUUUCAUGACUUUCAUCAUGGUUCUUGCAACUGUUGCAGACACUUCAGUCCACACUGCAGUACUUGUUUCUCUUUUGAGUAGAAUGUAGUUGGUAACUUGACUUCCACCGUCAUACUUAGGUGGCUCCCAUUUGAGAGUCACACUUUCUUCAGUUAUAUCACUAAUAACAACAGGGCCAGUUGGAGGACCAGGCCUGUCUAGCACAACAAUGUUAAUGAAAGCUUUGGUUGUACCACUGGAGUUGGCAGCAGUGAUUUCAUAUCUCCCAGCGUCAGCUGUAACACUUUCUUUGAGAUUGAUGGUCAGGUUCUCAGCAGUAAUUUCGGUAUUAAAUCUCAUGGUUGCCUUAAGGGGGACACCAUCUCUUGAUAAGGUCACUUUGGGAAGUGGUUUUCCAGAGAUUGGAAUGUCAACUUUAAGGUUUGAACCAGCUCUAACAUAUACAGUGUGACUUGGGAAAUUCUUCAUAUCAAUUUCAGGUGGUUCUGAAAAAUGAGUAUAGAAAGUGAAAGUGAAAAAGUGUUUCUGAAAAUUAACAUAAAUCAAUGCAAAUAAUUUCAAAUUUUGCUUCUACACAAAAUUAGACAUACCUAGUUGCUCCUUAAUAAGAACAGGAAGCAGAAGCUCUCUCGGGUCACUCAGGCCAGCUUGAUUUUCAGCAAACACUCGGAAAAAGUAUUCAGAAUUCUCUCUCAGACCGGAAACAACGUGAUGGGUUGACUUUGCCACUGCACAUUUAACCCAGUUUUUCUGUCCUUUUUCUAGUGCUUCAACGACAUAGUGUACAAUUCUGCUUCCGCCAUCAUGUUCAGGCUUCAGCCAGGUCAGGGAAACACUGUCUUUGGAUAUACUUGUUACUCCAAGUUUUUCAGGUGGGCUUGGUUUUUCUAAGAAAACAAAGCAUCAAAAGAAAGUGAAUAAUUAUUACAGCACUUUUAAAUGUGCACUCUUCAUGUAUUGUCAAAAGAAAACUUUUAAAUGAAGGCCAUAUUUUUAUGUUGAUUUUAGUCUUCCUUUUUACAUAACCCAUUUUGCUUCUGAACCAACCAAGGCUCCCACAAGCUAUGUCAUUACAUGCUAUAGCAUUCAAAUCCAAAUUAAGGGUAAAAUGACCAGAUUAAAUGAUAAAAUUUACUCCAAAUUCACCAUGGGGAUAAAAAAGAGGAACAAGAUGAACAAUCUUUUAAAAAACUUUAUAUACAAUUUCUGUACACAC